RNAcentral lists this ribosomal RNA (454 nucleotides) under uncultured bacterium. RNAcentral describes it as "bacterial SSU rRNA". It matches the Rfam family "Bacterial small subunit ribosomal RNA", at positions 340 to 786 of the family's 1533-position model. The record is from RNAcentral.
UACGGGAGGCAGCAGUGGGGAAUAUUGCACAAUGGGCGCAAGCCUGAUGCAGCCAUGCCGCGUGUAUGAAGAAGGCCUUCGGGUUGUAAAGUACUUUCAGUCGUGAGGAAGGUGUUAAGGUUAAUAACCUUAGCAAUUGACGUUAGCGACAGAAGAAGCACCGGCUAACUCCGUGCCAGCAGCCGCGGUAAUACGGAGGGUGCGAGCGUUAAUCGGAAUUACUGGGCGUAAAGGGCACGCAGGCGGUUAAUUAAGUUGGAUGUGAAAUCCCCGGGCUUAACCUGGGAAUGGCAUUCAAGACUGGUUAGCUAGAGUCUUGUAGAGGGGGUAGAAUUCCAUGUGUAGCGGUGAAAUGCGUAGAGAUGUGGAGGAAUACCGGUGGCGAAGGCGGCCCCUGGACAAAGGCUGACGCUCAUGUGCGAAAGCGUGGGGAGCAAACGAGGGAUUAGAUACC